This 230-nucleotide ribosomal RNA is filed under the name uncultured bacterium. RNAcentral's name for it is "partial 16S ribosomal RNA". It matches the Rfam family "Bacterial small subunit ribosomal RNA", at positions 562 to 791 of the family's 1533-position model. The record is from RNAcentral.
AAAGGGUGCGUAGGCGGUUUAUUAAGUCAGUGGUGAAAGACGGUCGCUCAACGAUUGCAGUGCCAUUGAUACUGGUAGACUUGAGUAUGAUUGAGGUAGCUGGAAUGGAUAGUGUAGCGGUGAAAUGCAUAGAUAUUAUCCAGAACACCAAUUGCGUAGGCAAGUUACUAAGUCAUAACUGACGCUGAUGCACGAAAGUGUGGGUAUCAAACAGGAUUAGAUACCCCAGU